This 253-nucleotide ribosomal RNA is filed under the name uncultured bacterium. RNAcentral's name for it is "partial 16S ribosomal RNA". It matches the Rfam family "Bacterial small subunit ribosomal RNA", at positions 524 to 776 of the family's 1533-position model. The record is from RNAcentral.
UACAGAGGUCCCAAGCGUUGUUCGGAUUCACUGGGCGUAAAGGGUGCGUAGGCGGUCGGGUAAGUCUGAUGUGAAAUCUCACAGCUUAACUGUGAAACUGCAUUGGAUACUAUCCGGCUCGAGGAAUGGAGGGGAGACUGGAAUACUUGGUGUAGCAGUGAAAUGCGUAGAUAUCAAGUGGAACACCAGUGGCGAAGGCGAGUCUCUGGACAGUUACUGACGCUGAGGCACGAAGGCCAGGGGAGCAAACAGG